This 253-nucleotide ribosomal RNA is filed under the name uncultured bacterium. RNAcentral describes it as "partial 16S ribosomal RNA". It matches the Rfam family "Bacterial small subunit ribosomal RNA", at positions 524 to 776 of the family's 1533-position model. The record is from RNAcentral.
UACGUAGGGUGCAAGCGUUAAUCGGAAUUACUGGGCGUAAAGCGUGCGCAGGCGGUGAUGUAAGACAGAUGUGAAAUCCCCGGGCUCAACUUGGGAACUGCAUUUGUGACUGCAUCGCUGGAGUGCGGCAGAGGGGGAUGGAAUUCCGCGUGUAGCAGUGAAAUGCGUAGAUAUGCGGAGGAACACCGAUGGCGAAGGCAAUCCCCUGGGCCUGCACUGACGCUCAUGCACGAAAGCGUUGGGAGCAAACAGG